This 169-nucleotide unclassified non-coding RNA is filed under the name uncultured Trichoderma. Its description in RNAcentral is "sequence contains ITS1". Lineage: Eukaryota; Fungi; Ascomycota; Sordariomycetes; Hypocreales; Hypocreaceae. The record is from RNAcentral.
CCGAGUUUACAACUCCCAAACCCAAUGUGAACGUUACCAAACUGUUGCCUCGGCGGGAUCUCUGCCCCGGGUGCGUCGCAGCCCCGGACCAAGGCGCCCGCCGGAGGACCAACCAAAACUCUGAUUUGAUAUAGCAAGUCUUUCUGAGUAAAACAUUCUAAAUGAAUCA